Acanthosepion pharaonis is the source of this 109-nucleotide non-coding RNA. Lineage: Eukaryota; Metazoa; Mollusca; Cephalopoda; Sepiida; Sepiidae. The record is from the annotation of a GenBank genome assembly.
UUACGGCCACAUCACGUUGAAAUACCAGUUACCGUACGAUCACCGAAGUUAAGCAACGUUGAACCUGGUCAGUACUUAAGUGGGUGACUGCUUGGGAAUACCAGGUGCU